UGGGGAAUUUUGCGCAAUGGGCGAAAGCCUGACGCAGCGACGCCGCGUGUGCGAUGAAGGCCUUUGGGUCGUAAAGCACUGUCGGUCGGGACGAAAACCAACGGACUAAUAUUUCGUUGGCUUGACGGUACCGGCAAAGGAAGCACCGGCUAACUCUGUGCCAGCAGCCGCGGUAAUACAGAGGGUGCAAACGUUGCUCGGAAUUAUUGGGCGUAAAGCGCAUGUAGGCGGCACGGUAAGUCGACUGUGAAAGCCCUUGGCUCAACCAAGGAAGUGCAGUCGAAACUGCCGAGCUCGAGUUCUGAAGAGGGUCGCGGAAUGGCCAGUGUAGAGGUGAAAUUCGUAGAUAUUGGCUAGAACACCAGUGGCGAAGGCGGCGACCUGGGAAGAUACUGACGCUGAGAUGCGAAAGCGUGGGGAGCAAACAGGAUUAGAUACCCUUGUAGUCCCUGAGCGGGCUGGCAAGGCGCAU
RNAcentral lists this ribosomal RNA (472 nucleotides) under uncultured bacterium. RNAcentral describes it as "bacterial SSU rRNA". It matches the Rfam family "Bacterial small subunit ribosomal RNA", at positions 355 to 825 of the family's 1533-position model. The record is from RNAcentral.